Long non-coding RNA from Solanum dulcamara, 1219 nucleotides. RefSeq lists it as uncharacterized. The record is from RefSeq and is a predicted model, not a curated record. The transcript is spliced from 2 exons. Lineage: Eukaryota; Viridiplantae; Streptophyta; Magnoliopsida; Solanales; Solanaceae.
AAUGUCUUUAACUUAUCUAACCCUAAGUCCUAAAAAACUAACACUUAACUUAAGUUAAGACCUCAUCAGUGUCAUCACCUCAAUACUUCACUAACUUCAGUUCUGAGUUCUCUGAGUUCUGCACUUCUGCUUCACGCCUUCACCGUCAUCGGCCACCGCUUCACGCCGCCUUCACCUUCACCUUCACCUUCACCACUUCACUUGAAGGUACAUUCCUUAAUUAGUUCCUACCAAACCAAGGUUACCUCUUAUCCUUCGAAAAUGUUCAGGCUAAAGAAGUCGCCCUUGCAUCGGAGUUCUAGGAAUUCAAUGGUUAUUCUACUUGCAGGCAUAUGAGAAGAAGACCACUCCAAAAUGGCGUUAUGAUCUUGAUCGAAAGAGGCAUUUUGAACAGGUUAGUUGAGUUUGGAAGAGAUUGUCAUUUGUCUGCUUUUACCAAGGUUGCUCUCAGUUGCAAGGUGAAAAUUGAUGCAUCUAAUGUAGCAUUAUGAUCUAAAUUAUAGAUAAAAGUUAUGUAGAAAGGUACAAGAUCAAAGGAGGUAAUCUCUCUUUUUGACUUUUUUGAAAUUGGUCAUGUUGCAAGGGAGGUAAUCUCUUUUACCAGGUGCUAUCCAUGUUCUCCAUUUUUUUUAGUCUGUAUGCUAUCCAUUUUUUUUGAAUCAACUUCUGAAAAGUGAGGACACCAUAUAAAGAAGUGGUACAUUGAUAGAAAAGCUUGGAGCCAAAAUUGAUUAUAGCUUGGAGACAAGAUAUUGCAUGAAAUCUCAGUACCAAAAUACUGAAAAGAGAGUUCUAUAAGGCUACUUUUUAAUACACAUACUAUUUUGUUCUGUUUUUCUAUGAUUUUUUAAGGGUUGCAGUGAGCACAGUUGAUCCUUCAUGUUGAGUUAAUCAUGCAUGUGCUUCUGUGCUUGUGAAACAUUUUCUGAAAUUGUGUAUACUGACUAGGAGACAAAGAUACAGUGAUGCUCUAAUCAGUUCCAAGAUCAGGUUGUGGUGUGUGACUUUUCCCUUUGUCAGCUCCUAAAGGAUACAGUGAUGCUUCUAAACAGUUUCUGGCUUUCUGCAAUGUUAGGAUUUUCAUCACUGGGGUUAUAUGCGUCGUUGAAGUUGGGAGAUUUUGAAUAAGCCAUAAUGUACAUAUUUUUUAUAAUUAGUUUGAGACUCAGUUGUCUACUUGUAUUUGAUCCAUUGUUUAGUUUGUUAUUAAAAUUCUUCA